GAUAAACGCUGGCGGCGUGCCUAACACAUGCAAGUCGAACGAUGAAGCUUAAAAGAUUUCUUCGGAAUGAACUUAAUUGGAUUAGUGGCGGACGGGUGAGUAACGCGUGAGUAACCUGCCUUGUACAAGGGGAUAGCCGUUGGAAACGACGAAUAAUACCCUAUGACAUCAAAUAAUCGCAUGAUAAUUUGAUCAAAGAUUUAUCGGUAUAAGAUGGACUCGCGUCUGAUUAGCUAGUUGGUAGAGUAAAAGCCUACCAAGGCAACGAUCAGUAGCCGGCUGGAGAGAGUGUACGGCCACAUUGGGACUGAGACACGGCCCAGACUCCUACGGGAGGCAGCAGUGGGGAAUUUUGCACAAUGGGGGAAACCCUGAUGCAGCGACGCCGCGUGAUUUAGAAGGCCUUCGGGUUGUAAAAAUCUUUUGUAUGGGAAGAAAAUGACAGUACCAUACGAAUAAGGACCGGCUAAUUACGUG
RNAcentral lists this ribosomal RNA (477 nucleotides) under uncultured bacterium. Its description in RNAcentral is "partial 16S ribosomal RNA". It matches the Rfam family "Bacterial small subunit ribosomal RNA", at positions 28 to 507 of the family's 1533-position model. The record is from RNAcentral.